UGAAGAGGCGGAGGACAGGUGGUGAUGGUGAUGGUGGUGGUGGUGAUGGAGAUGAGGCGGCUGCUGCUGCUGCUGCUGCUCGGCCGGGUGGUGAUGGUGGUACUGAUGAUGCUGCGUACCGGGCUGGGAGACUUGCGGCUGCCGGUAGGCGCCCAGCUGGGACCCGAGGCUCCCCGCGGCGAGAUCCAUGCCUCCGAACCUCCGGUAGCUGUCCUCCAUCGGGCUCAAAAUGUCGAUGACUGAGAAGGGGGUGGAGUGCUUUGGGCUGAAGGACAUGGUGCGGACGCCCCCCGUGCUUGUGGCUGGAUGUGGUCCGGGUCUUGGUCCGGCGGCUCUCUGCCUGCGUCCCCCUCCCUCCCUCCGGCUGCGUGCGCUGCUCCGUCUCCCUGGGAAAGAAGUCCAGCUGGUCGGCUGCGAAGGAGGAGACGAGCCUCCCAACGCGCACGCGGAGGGGCGGAGCGACGCGCGCGCGCGCAGCUAACAAAAGGCAAUUGACAUUAGAGGAGCCACCGGGACCUCCGCGGAGCGUCGCCCCGGGGCUCAGAGCGGCUGCUGCGGGCUUUGAGAGGGGGGAACCGGGCGGGACGGACCGGAAACACACCGGGGACUAAAUGAAUCCUCGUGGAGCAGAUUUACAGAUGUUUAGUGGUCAUGUUCAAGGUGAAUUAAUUACAGCUGCAAGGCCUUUAAGUCAUUAUUAGUAUCUUUAUUCAUAUAUAUAUAUGAAUAUAUCUUAAAGGAGCUUUUUAUAAAUGUUACUAUUGUCUGUUAAACAUGAGUUUAAGGUGAAUUAAUUCUAAGCGACGUUUCUCUGAUGUAUCUUAUAGUUAUAAUAAUUCUAUAUGGACUUUACAAAGUAUAUUGUUGAACUGAUUUAUGUCUCUGCUGUUCUUUAAUAACUUUAUAAUAACGAAAAGCUUUUUAGCAACGUUACAACAAUAAUAGUUUAAGGUGAAUUCAUUCUACUUAGAUGUUUUUUUAACUCUUAUCGCUUUAUGAUUUAUAUGAUUAUGAUUUAAAGUCACUUCAUGUUAACUUUUAUUAAAUCUGCCUCUAAAGUUA
Molecule: long non-coding RNA, 1062 nt
Organism: Cyclopterus lumpus (lumpfish)
Lineage: Eukaryota; Metazoa; Chordata; Actinopteri; Perciformes; Cyclopteridae
Exons: 2
Source: RefSeq, a predicted model, not a curated record